This 71-nucleotide transfer RNA is filed under the name Marmota monax (woodchuck). RNAcentral describes it as "tRNA.Ala". The stretch from base 6 to 66 matches the Rfam family "tRNA", at positions 6 to 65 of the family's 71-position model. From Rfam's summary of the family: Transfer RNA (tRNA) molecules are approximately 80 nucleotides in length. Lineage: Eukaryota; Metazoa; Chordata; Mammalia; Rodentia; Sciuridae. The record is from RNAcentral.
GAAGUUGUAGCUCAGUGGUAGAGCACUUGCCUAGCAUGCACGAGGCCCUGGGUUCAAUCCUCAGCACUACA